UACGGAGGUGGCAAGCGUUGCUCAGAAUCACUGGGCGUAAAGGGCGCGUAGGCGGGGGAGGUAAGUCGGGUGUGAAAAUCCCUUGGCCCAACCGAGGAACUGCGCCCGAGACUGCUUCUCUUGAGUCCCGGAGAGGAAGGUGGAAUUCCCGGUGUAGCGGUGAAAUGUGUAGAGAUCGGGAGGAACACCGGUGGCGAAGGCGGCCUUCUGGACGGUGACUGACGCUGAGGCGCGAAAGCGUGGGGAGCAAACGGG
RNAcentral lists this ribosomal RNA (255 nucleotides) under uncultured bacterium. RNAcentral's name for it is "partial 16S ribosomal RNA". It matches the Rfam family "Bacterial small subunit ribosomal RNA", at positions 524 to 776 of the family's 1533-position model. The record is from RNAcentral.